RNAcentral lists this ribosomal RNA (492 nucleotides) under uncultured bacterium. RNAcentral's name for it is "partial 16S ribosomal RNA". It matches the Rfam family "Bacterial small subunit ribosomal RNA", at positions 29 to 507 of the family's 1533-position model. The record is from RNAcentral.
AGUGAACGCUGGCGGUAGGCCUAACACAUGCAAGUCGAACGGCAGCACAGUAAGAGCUUGCUCUUACGGGUGGCGAGUGGCGGACGGGUGAGGAAUACAUCGGAAUCUACUUAUUCGUGGGGGAUAACGUAGGGAAACUUACGCUAAUACCGCAUACGACCUACGGGUGAAAGCAGGGGAUCUUCGGACCUUGGGCGAUUGAAUGAGCCGAUGUCGGAUUAGCUAGUUGGCGGGGUAAAGGCCCACCAAGGCGACGAUCCGUAGCUGGUCUGAGAGGAUGAUCAGCCACACUGGAACUGAGACACGGUCCAGACUCCUACGGGAGGCAGCAGUGGGGAAUAUUGGACAAAGGGCGCAAGCCUGAUCCAGCCAUACCGCGUGGGUGAAGAAGGCCUUCGGGUUGUAAAGCCCUUUUGUUGGGAAGGAAAAGCAGCAGGUUAAUACCCCGCUGUUCUGACGGUACCCAAAGAAUAAGCACCGGCUAACUUCGUG